UGGCUCAGAACGAACGCUGGCGGCGUGCCUAACACAUGCAAGUCGAGCGAGAAAGCCCGCAAGGGUGAGUAAAGCGGCGCACGGGUGCGUAACACGUGGGUAAUCUGCCCUAGAGUCCGGAAUAACUCGCCGAAAGGCGUGCUAAUGCCGGAUGAGACCACGGGAGCUUCGGCUCCUGCGGGAAAAGGUGGCCUCUGUAUACAAGCUAUCGCUCUAGGAUGAGCCCGCGGCCCAUCAGCUCGUUGGCGGGGUAAUGGCCCACCAAGGCUACGACGGGUAGCUGGUCUGAGAGGACGAUCAGCCACACUGGAACUGAGACACGGUCCAGACUCCUACGGGAGGCAGCAGUGGGGAAUCUUGCGCAAUGGGCGAAAGCCUGACGCAGCAACGCCGCGUGUGUGAUGAAGGUCUUCGGAUCGUAAAGCACUGUCGCGAGGGACGAAUAAGGGGCGGGCUAACAUCCCGUUCCGAUGACGGUACCUCGAGAGGAAGCACCGGCUAACUCUGUGCCAGCAGCCGCGGUAAUACAGAGGGUGCAAGCGUUGUUCGGAAUUAUUGGGCGUAAAGCGCGUGUAGGCGGCCUUGCAAGUUGGGUGUGAAAGCCCUCGGCUUAACCGAGGAAGUGCGCCCAAAACUACGAGGCUUGAGUGCCGGAGAGGGUGGCGGAAUUCCCGGUGUAGAGGUGAAAUUCGUAGAUAUCGGGAGGAACACCAGUGGCGAAGGCGGCCACCUGGACGGUAACUGACGCUGAGACGCGAAAGCGUGGGGAGCAAACAGGAUUAGAUACCCUGGUAGUCCACGCUGUAAACGAUGAGCGCUAGGUGUUGUGGGUGUUGACCCCCGCAGUGCCGCAGCUAACGCAUUAAGCGCUCCGCCUGGGAAGUACGGCCGCAAGGCUAAAACUCAAAG
This 909-nucleotide ribosomal RNA is filed under the name uncultured bacterium. Its description in RNAcentral is "bacterial SSU rRNA". It matches the Rfam family "Bacterial small subunit ribosomal RNA", at positions 20 to 906 of the family's 1533-position model. The record is from RNAcentral.